UACGGAAGGCAGCAGUGGGGAAUAUUGGACAAUGGGCGAAAGCCUGAUCCAGCCAUGCCGCAUGAGUGAAGAAGGCCUUCGGGUUGUAAAGCUCUUUUAGUGAGAAAGAUAAUGACGGUACUCACAGAAGAAGUCCUGGCUAACUCCGUGCCAGCAGCCGCGGUAAUACGGAGAGGGCUAGCGUUAUUCGGAAUUAUUGGGCGUAAAGAGCGCGUAGGCUGAUUAGUAAGUUAAAAGUGAAAUCCCAAAGCUUAACUUUGGAAUUGCUUUUUAAAACUGCUAGUCUAGAGAUUGAAAGAGGAUAGAGGAAUUCCUAGUGUAGAGGUGAAAUUCGUAAAUAUUAGGAGGAACACCAGUGGCGAAGGCGUCUAUCUGGUUCAAAUCUGACGCUGAGGCGCGAAGGGCGUGGGGAGCGAAACAGGGAUUUAGAUACCCGU
RNAcentral lists this ribosomal RNA (437 nucleotides) under uncultured bacterium. RNAcentral's name for it is "bacterial SSU rRNA". It matches the Rfam family "Bacterial small subunit ribosomal RNA", at positions 340 to 789 of the family's 1533-position model. The record is from RNAcentral.